RNAcentral lists this ribosomal RNA (816 nucleotides) under uncultured marine bacterium. Its description in RNAcentral is "bacterial SSU rRNA". It matches the Rfam family "Bacterial small subunit ribosomal RNA", at positions 60 to 874 of the family's 1533-position model. The record is from RNAcentral.
AGUCGAGGGGUAACAUAGAGUGCUUGCACUCUGAUGACGACCGGCGCACGGGUGAGUAACGCGUAUACAAUCUGCCUCAUACUAGGGCAUAGCCCAGAGAAAUUUGGAUUAACACCCUAUAGUAUCUUUUAGAGUCAUCUCUUUAAGAUUAAAGGUUACGGUAUGAGAUGAGUAUGCGUUCUAUUAGUUAGUAGGUGAGGUAACGGCUCACCUAGACCACGAUAGAUAGGGGCCCUGAGAGGGGGAUCCCCCACACUGGUACUGAGACACGGACCAGACUCCUACGGGAGGCAGCAGUGAGGAAUAUUAGACAAUGGGCGAAAGCCUGAUCUAGCCAUGCCGCGUGCAGGAUGACGGCCCUAUGGGUUGUAAACUGCUUUUAUACAGGAAGAAAAAACUCUACGUGUAGAGUCUUGACGGUACUGUAAGAAUAAGGAUCGGCUAACUCCGUGCCAGCAGCCGCGGUAAUACGGAGGAUCCAAGCGUUAUCCGGAAUUAUUGGGUUUAAAGGGUCCGUAGGUGGACAAUUAAGUCAGAGGUGAAAUCCUGCAGCUCAACUGUAGAAUUGCCUUUGAAACUGGUUGUCUUGAGUCAUUAUGGAGUGGUUAGAAUGUGUAGUGUAGCGGUGAAAUGCACAGAUAUUACACAGAAUACCAAUUGCGAAGGCAGAUCACUAAUAAUGUACUGACACUGAGGGACGAAAGCGUGGGUAGCGAACAGGAUUAGAUACCCUGGUAGUCCACGCCGUAAACGAUGGUCACUAGCUGUUCGGACUUCGGUCUGAGUGGCUAAGCGAAAGUGAUAAGUGACCCACCU